UGGGGUGUAGCCAAGCGGUAAGGCACUAGACUCUGACUCUGGCAUUCGCAGGUUCGAAUCCUGCCACUCUAG
Molecule: transfer RNA, 72 nt
Rfam family: tRNA
About the family: Transfer RNA (tRNA) molecules are approximately 80 nucleotides in length.